This 30-nucleotide non-coding RNA is filed under the name Rattus norvegicus (Norway rat). The record is from RNAcentral. Lineage: Eukaryota; Metazoa; Chordata; Mammalia; Rodentia; Muridae.
UUGGUUACAAUAUGAACUAUUGCUGACACA